This 253-nucleotide ribosomal RNA is filed under the name uncultured bacterium. Its description in RNAcentral is "partial 16S ribosomal RNA". It matches the Rfam family "Bacterial small subunit ribosomal RNA", at positions 524 to 776 of the family's 1533-position model. The record is from RNAcentral.
AACGUAGGUGGCGAGCGUUAUCCGGAUUUACUGGGCGUAAAGGGUGUGCAGGCGGGAUGACAAGUGGUGUAUGAAAUAUCCCGGCUUAACCGGGAAGGGUUAUGCCAGACUGUCAUUCUAGAGUGCGAGAGAGGGACGUGGAAUUCCGGGUGUAGUGGUGAAAUGCGUAGAGAUCCGGAGGAACCCCAGAGGCGAAGGCGACUUCCUGGCCUGUUCUUGACGCUGAGGCGCGAAAGCUAGGGGAGCAAACGGG